GAUGAACGCUGGCGGCGCGCCUAACACAUGCGAGUCGAACGGUAAGAGCCCGUUCGGGUGGGGUUCAAGAGGGGCGAGGGGGUGUAAAACGCGGGAAAACUGUGCCCUUGAUUGGGAGAGAAACGGAAAAAAGUGGGGAAUAUAGCAGACUUCGAGACUUGCGGCUGGGAGGCGGGUGGAAGGUCUCGGCGGGGGGGGAUGGACCCGCGGCUGAUCAGCUUGUUGGUGGGGUAGGGGCUUACCAAGGCAUUGAGGGGUAGCUGGGUUGAGAGGCUGACCAGCCAGAUUGGGACUGAGACACGGCCCAGACUCCUACGGGAGGCAGCAGUGGGGAAUCUUGCACAAUGGGCGGAAGCCUGAUGCAGCGACGCCGCGUGCGGGAUGAAGGCCUUCGGGUUGUAAACCGCUUUCAGCUGGGACGAGGCGAAAGUGACGGUACCGGCAGAAGAAGCCCCGGCUAACUACGUG
RNAcentral lists this ribosomal RNA (468 nucleotides) under uncultured bacterium. RNAcentral describes it as "partial 16S ribosomal RNA". It matches the Rfam family "Bacterial small subunit ribosomal RNA", at positions 28 to 507 of the family's 1533-position model. The record is from RNAcentral.